UACGUAGGGUGCGAGCGUUGUCCGGAAUUAUUGGGCGUAAAGAGCUUGUAGGUGGCUCGUUGCGUCGGGAGUGAAAACCUGCGGCUUAACCGCAGGCCUGCUUCCGAUACGGGCGAGCUAGAGUUCGGCAGGGGAGACUGGAAUUCCUGGUGUAGCGGUGGAAUGCGCAGAUAUCAGGAGGAACACCGGUGGCGAAGGCGGGUCUCUGGGCCGAUACUGACACUGAGAAGCGAAAGCGUGGGGAACGAACAGG
Molecule: ribosomal RNA, 253 nt
Filed under: uncultured bacterium
Lineage: Bacteria
Description: partial 16S ribosomal RNA
Rfam family: Bacterial small subunit ribosomal RNA
Source: RNAcentral